Molecule: ribosomal RNA, 326 nt
Filed under: uncultured eukaryote
Lineage: Eukaryota
Description: partial 18S ribosomal RNA
Rfam family: Eukaryotic small subunit ribosomal RNA
Source: RNAcentral
CCCUUAGAUGUCCUGGGCCGCACGCGCGUUACACUGAUGCAUUCAACGAGCUUAUAACCUUGGCCGAGAGGCCUGGGCAAUCUUGUUAACGUGCAUCGUGAUAGGGAUAGAUUAUUGAAAUUAUUAAUCUUGAACGAGGAAUUCCUAGUAAACGCAGAUCAUCAAUCUGCAUUGAUUACGUCCCUGCCCUUUGUACACACCGCCCGUCGCACCUACCGAUUGGAUGUUCCGGUGAAGCCUCGGGAUGAGGACUGGUGCCUUUAUUGGCAUGAGUUGUUCAGAACUUGUCUAAACCUUAUCAUCUAGAGGAAGGUGAAGUAGUAACA